This 232-nucleotide ribosomal RNA is filed under the name uncultured bacterium. RNAcentral's name for it is "partial 16S ribosomal RNA". It matches the Rfam family "Bacterial small subunit ribosomal RNA", at positions 524 to 751 of the family's 1533-position model. The record is from RNAcentral.
UACAGAGGGUGCGAGCGUUGUCCGGAAUCACUGGGCGUAAAGGGCGCGUAGGUGGCGACCCAAGUCUGUGGUGAAAGCUCGCCGCUUAACGGCGAGUCGGCCACGGAUACUGGGUGGCUCGAGCACUGUAGGGGCCAGAUGGAAUUCCGGGGUGUAGCGGUGGGAAUGCGUAGAGAUCCGGAAGAACACCGGUGGCGAAGGCGACUACCUGGCCCUGUUCUUGACGCUGAGG